This 497-nucleotide ribosomal RNA is filed under the name uncultured bacterium. RNAcentral describes it as "partial 16S ribosomal RNA". It matches the Rfam family "Bacterial small subunit ribosomal RNA", at positions 28 to 507 of the family's 1533-position model. The record is from RNAcentral.
GAUGAACGCUGGCGGCGUGCCUAAUACAUGCAAGUCGAGCGAACAGACGAGGAGCUUGCUCCUCUGACGUUAGCGGCGGACGGGUGAGUAACACGUGGAUAACCUACCUAUAAGACUGGGAUAACUUCGGGAAACCGGAGCUAAUACCGGAUAACAUAUUGAACCGCAUGGUUUAACAGUGAAAGACGGUUUUGCUGUCACUUAUAGAUGGAUCCGCGCCGCAUUAGCUAGUUGGUAAGGUAACGGCUUACCAAGGCAACGAUGCGUAGCCGACCUGAGAGGGUGAUCGGCCACAUUGGAAGUGAGACAGGGUCCAGAGUCCUACGGGAGGCAGCAGUAGGGAAUCUUCCGCAAUGGGCGAAAGCCUGACGGAGCAACGCCGCGUGAGUGAAGAAGGUCUUCGGAUCGUAAAACUCUGUUAUUAGGGAAGAACAAAUGUGUAAGUAACUAUGCACGUCUUGACGGUACCUAAUCAGAAAGCCACGGCUAACUACGUG